AGCGAACGCUGGCGGCGUGCCUAACACAUGCAAGUCGAACGUAAAAGGGAGCAAUCCCAAGUAAAGUGGCGUACGGGUGAGUAACACGUAGGUAAUCUACACCAGAAUCUGGAAUAACCGGCCGCAAGGCUGGCUAGUACUGGAUAGAGCGACGUAAUCCGUAAUUGGGUUUUUCGGGAAAGGGAGCCUGUAAGAAGGCCUUCGUUCUGGGAUGAGCCUGCGUCCCAUCAGCUAGUUGGUUAGGUAAAUGCUUACCAAGGCAAUGGAGGGUAGCUGGACUGAGAGGACGAAUAGGCAAACCGGAACUGAAAACCGGGCCAGACUCCCUAGGGAAGGAGCAGUUGGGAAAUUUUCGGAAUUGACGAAAGUCUUGACGAGCCAAGCCGCGGGAGGGAAGAAGGGCUUCGGGUUGGAAAGCCCUGUCGAGUGGGAAGAAAAUGAUUGGAGUUCACAGCUCCAGGAAUUGACGGUACCAAUACAGAAAGCAACGGCUAACUACGUG
RNAcentral lists this ribosomal RNA (502 nucleotides) under uncultured bacterium. RNAcentral's name for it is "partial 16S ribosomal RNA". It matches the Rfam family "Bacterial small subunit ribosomal RNA", at positions 29 to 507 of the family's 1533-position model. The record is from RNAcentral.